RNAcentral lists this long non-coding RNA (5314 nucleotides) under Gallus gallus (chicken). The record is from RNAcentral. Lineage: Eukaryota; Metazoa; Chordata; Aves; Galliformes; Phasianidae.
GCCUCUACCCGUUUUUAAGUUUAGAUUCAUAGGAGUUCCCAUGUAUGAUGGUGCUCCCGUUUUAAUAUUGCCAAUCGUAACUUUCACGUCGUCAUCAUCACUGUCACUAUCACUGUCUUCUUCAUCAUCUUCUCCACUUGGAAGGGCAUGCUGUGACACCUCUCGGUCUUCGCUGCCGACGGGCCGGUUCUCCUGAGGAGCAUCUUGCAGAGGAUGAGAAGAUUCUGCAUGUCCAGAAGUUGGUCCGUCUUCUUGCUUACCAGUGGUGUCAUCGCCGUACAGCCAGUGCUCCUCGUCCUCCUCCGCCUCCAGCGGCGCCCCGCCCGACACGGCCCCGGCCGCCGGCGGCUCCAGCUCGGUGGCCAUGGCCGAGGGGGGGGAGGAGGAGGAGGAGAAGCGGCGUCCGCGGCGGCGGCCUCCCGGGCCCCGCUCGGCUCCCGCCGCGGCCUGAGGCGAGGCGCGCGCCCGCUGCGCUCGGCACGGGGCGGGGAGGGCCGCAGCCGCCGGGCCGGGCCGCGCCGAGGACGCCCGGCUAGCGCGCCGCCAUUGCUCUUUCUUUGCCUCCCGCGGGAGGUGGGGAGGGGACGGGAUGGGACGGGACCCCCGGCGGGAGCGGAGGCGGCCCCCGGCCCUAGCGCCACCCGCUCCCGCCGCCACAAAGGCGCCGCGCAGCGGGACGGCCACCACGCAUGCGCGGGGCGGGAGCGCAUGCGCCGAAGGAGAGAGGGGAGCGCCCGACGCGCCGCUUCGCGCCUCGCCGGGCCCACCUGAGGGCGGGGGGAGGCUCCGCUUUCUGCUCUCGGCGUUAAUCGCGCGGCCCGGCUGUAUCUCCGUGCGAAUGAUGGCAGCGCCUUCUGGGCGGGACCUGCGAGGCGCUCGCCCGCUGCAACGCUACGGAACGGCAGCCGGAACGCAGCUCGCCUCGCUCCCGCGCUGAGGUACGGCGAGAAGGUUCCGAGAGGCGUCCUUUCCUCUGGAAAGGUGGAAGCGACUAAAGAGAGAGUCCGACAUUUGUACGCGGAUUGGCUAUGAAUCAGAAAUACAAUACAGCCAUUAAGGAGACAAAUGGGAUCCUUUAAUGAGUCACGUUAUUCUAACGAAGAGAGAACCAUCUGCGUUGUUAGACCUGGCGUGACACUAGAGAUGUUACUGCCCUUAUCUCCAAUACGGGAUUGUUAUGGUUACCCGUAGUGAAGGAAAAUUAAUUCAAACACAGUACAGACAAACGUAAAGCAAGCACGAUGAUCCGAAAGAGAAAAAUUUGCUUUUGAAAGAAGGCCACCAUUUAGUUUAGCAACUGAAGGCUAAGAUUUAAAUAUCUAUAAAAUCUCACAAAAAAAACUAAACUCAGCUGGAACAUUCCAACGGCUUAUGAUACAAUACUGACAGCAAUGCUGAUACAAACCAUGUAUAAAAUGAUAAAUAUGUUGGCAGGUACAUUUUGGCAAGCUUCCUUAGUGCAGAGUCCAAGAGUAGAAUAAGGGGCAAAAUCCCAAGUGUUCUUAAAAUGGACCUUUGCAAUAGCCCAGGCAAUCACAUCUCAUAACCCCUCACGGGAUUAAUACCGCGGCUCAGCCAAACGCUCCUAUAUUUGGCAUAACAAGAAAGGAACAUUCUCUACAUUUCUCAAAUAACAGUCAGUAGCAGUUGCAUGCCUAAACAGCACGUCGACCCAGGUGCUCCUGGAUUUGCCCAAAACAACUGAGGACAUCAGUUUUCAACAAAAAACACUGCACGUGCCUAUUGGGAACAUGGUGUUUUCCCCCCAGGGAUGAACCGAAGGCUUUAAUUUUAAGCCUUGCUUUCACAGCUACAAAGUUAGCCUGCUAACACACACAAAAGGCUGCAUUGUCCUCCGGUCACGGUGCACUACGUGAGCCAAUGAUUUAUUUCACGAACACGCUAUCCAUGCUCAGGUUAGGCUCCCUCUGCAGUGCUACUGCAAUAGAAUAGGAAAAAAAACUUCUGCUCUUCUCCGCUCUCUGAACUCUGCAUCACUGCACUCCAGUAGUGAUAGAGCAUCUGCAAUGAAAAGGAAGGCUGCAGCAAGAGAAUUCCAUAAAUUUCCUCUAUAUAGAGGGUCUGCACGCCAGCUGAGAGAAGUUACAUGGAAGACUAAAUGUGAUGUUCAUUCUAGAAUUCUGUUUUUGGGAAAGCCUUGCUAAGUUUUCCAAGCGUUGUCCUUUCAACCACACAAACCAUAGUGGGAGUCCCACUGCUCUGCGUUAGAAAUGUGUCUCACAUAAAGGAAACCACUGACUGCCAUUGCGUUCACACAGUGCUGCAGGGAGACACAAACCACUUUGCUUCCAGAAACACACGGCACUAUUCAGAGGUUUUCGUCUUUAAAUUUAAUUAAAGAAAAAUGUCUCAUAGUGAUUAAGCAUGUCUGACUUCCAACUUCUUUAAACGGCACAAGCCUAUGCAGUAAAAUGUAGAAAUAGAGCUCAGAAUUAUAUUUUAAAAAGAAAAAAAAAAAAAAGAACUUUCAAAGUGUGAGGUCCUAUUAAAAAAGUGGCUGCUCACUUGUAAACGGAAUAAAAAUGUUAAGAAGACAAUUUAAAAAGUUUCAUACACCUGAAACAAAACCACUUUCCGUAAGCCAUACAAGUAACAUUACAGCAUCAUAAGAACAGCAAGAGCAGGAGAAAAUGGCAGAGGAAUCACACGACGUUACUUACUGAAGUAAUAACUUAUUUACAGUGAAUUUUAAUAGCUUGACAUUUUUAUUGCUCUGAUGGUAGUGUGUUGACAAGUAAACAUAGUGAAUUGUCAUAGUGGGACACUAAUAUGCGUAUAUUUACAGUUUUGCAUACACUGUUUUUUUUUUUUUGUACCUAUUAAGAAAAGUAUAGGGACCUUUGUCCCUCAGUCAAUACCACUCCAGAUUUUAGCAAAAUUGUUCCCUUUUGUCAGGUUAUUCACCUACAACUGAGUCCACAUUUCCUAGGCUUGCCUGUGCAUGUUCUAAAAUAUAUCCUUCCUCCUGUGAUGGUAAAAGAACUUCACAAGAAGCGGGUGGGGAAUUGUAGGUAAGAGCUCAUCAGUAUUCUUUAAUGCUCCUCACAUACAAAAACUUUCUAAUUAAAAAAAAACAAACAAACAGGCAUUUCACACAUACAAGUUAAAAACAUCAACAUGUUUAUAUGGGAAACUGAACACUGCUUAGACAGAUGAUAUUCCUGUAAGAGCUUUAUAAAAAUUGCUGCAAACUCACACCACACACUGCUACUAGUUUUCCCUUUCCUCCUUUCUUGCUGCACGUUUUCAUUUAGUUGAAACCAGUCAAGGCACUGUCUCACCAUUUCUCUUACACUUUGCUCACGUCAGUCUGUUACAUUGCUACGCGUGCUUUCUCCAAUUAACAAGUAUCCUCUAUAAACAGGCUUACCAUUUCGUGCUCAUUUUUUAUUGUCAAAAACGAGUUCUCCAGUCUUAUGAGAUACAAACUACCUGCCGGAUGUUUCUAUGUUAAAGCAAAGGAUGGCCUAGGCAAAAGAGAACCUGUAGGCAUUAAAGUUCACAGCAGCAUUUACAGUUGCUUUCAUCUUUAAAUGAGCUAUUAAACCUGUCUUACAGAUGCCAAUGUAAUACUGCAUGCUGUUUUUGUAUUUUAAUGUGAAAUUAUCUUCCUAUUAAAACAUGGAGCUUGCUGUAAAUUUGUUUCAGCUCUCAUACUCUACUAGUUGCUUUAUGGCCACAUUUUUAAGUGCCUAUUAAAACAUAAAAGGAAAAGACCCUUUCAUGGUCUGAAUACAAUUAAUAAUUUAGGACAAAGCAAAGUGUACAGAAUUUAUGUACUUGAAAUGUAAACUUUUAAAAUAAAUACUCUGUGCUGAAGUGGGAAACUCAGGGUAUUCCCUCUGCUUGGCACAGCAUUUCACUGAAACAAGACAGACCAGCUGAAAAAUUCUCAACUCCAUCGAAUGCAAUCAGCACAGACUCAGCAGAGGACUUCUGCUCGCAGUGAGACGGAGGGCUGCUGAGCACUGAGCACUGGCAGCUACUGAACCUCUCGCUCACCUCUUCUCUCAGUUGGAAAAAAACACUUUGAAAAUACAGUCACACAAAAGCAAAAAUUAAGAACCUUCUGAGAUUUCUUGGGUUUCUUACACAAGAGGAUAGCUAGCAAAGUUCUGGCAUUACUGUAAGAAGCUUCUAUUGUUCUGUCCAGCUAAGCUCCCUUCACUUAUACCACAGACACGUAUUUCUAAGGCAAACCGACUGUGCUAUGUCAAUUUUGCUCUUCACUGUUUCUUUCUGCCAUUAAGUAUUUUCUCUGCUUCCAGUUAACACUCAUCCUAAAAAAAAUAAAGUAAAAUAAAAUGAAGAGAAUACUCCGCACAGUUCUAUGACAGGAAUCUGAAUUGCAUGGUGUAGCUCAGGUUAAAUUCACACAACGCUGCAGUUCAUUCAUUAAAUUAAAUUACAAAUUCAAUUGAUCCGUUAGUCAUUACCAAUUUACUGGUCCAACAGAACCUCUGCACCAACCAUACAGAUUUCAGAGCCUGAAGCAUCAGUGUGAGAUCAGGAACCACUGCAAGCGCUGGAAUCAGACACUCAGCUGUACAGUUAGAAGAGCAAGACAUUUGAUUCCAAGUAACAACUCACACAAAACUGGCCUUCUGUAAACACUGUAUACUGGGUAUCUGGCCCAUUACAGCUGUUAGAAUGUAAUGACUUUACUAAUACUGUAUUUUAAUACAAUAUUGCACACUGAAGAGAUGCAAAUACAUUCAGAGGAAGUUCUAAGUCAGUCUGAAACUAAAAAGCAACCUGUGAUGCUGCAAGGAGUCAAGUCGCUGCAAAGAAAUGCCUGUAGACAUUUAUGACUAUAUUCAUCACAACUUGCAGAUAAUCAGUUAUCUGGUAUUUUUUUCUCUUAUUUCUAGUUAGGAAGGGGGAGAGGGUAGAGAAACAAUGCACUGUCAAUUGCUUCUUUCUUUCACUUGCUAUCAGCAAAUGGUCUUGCUUAGGCCAGGCAUUACAGUAAGUUCUUCUAUAGUCACUUCCCUUCCUGACAUCAGGCGAACAGGGAGGAGUCCAGAAAUACUUCUGAAUUCCACAAGGCAUUUGUGGCUCUUCAGACUGUUCCUGAAUGCCAAAACAUACACACGAGCCCAUUCAACUGAUCUACUUCCUCCCAUCAGCACAUUCCAAAAUACUGCUCUGAUUUACACAAAAAGUAUUUCCGCUAGAAAGGGAUGCCCUAUCAUUUAACUGUUACAGUGCUGAAGUACUGUCGUGCUAAAAAAUAUUCACCGUUACUUCAACUUUCAUUUGGCUGUUGCAAAUUCUUCUCCUUAGUAAUGAC